UAGAAGUGCACAGCAGCGUGAUAUCCGGAGCAAGAGUCCUCCAGAAGAACGGAUAAAUACAUGCGAACGGCUGAUUCUAUGUCCCCCAAGUCCAAAAUGAAAGUCACCAGCAUGCAGAGAGAAUAGCAGAGACGGGGAGACACAAGGAAGGAGUUUGUCUGUAAGAGGUUACGAGGCAGCGCUGCAGAGGUUUCGGUCCCAGUCAGCCAGACCGCCUUUCUCCAGGGAGUUUAUUUCGGGCCCACCGCAUGACCAGCGAUGGCGAGCCAAACUAUAAGAUGUUAUGAGUCUCAGAUUUCCUGUUUGAAGAUUGUACCGAGGAAGCUGCGAUCCUGCCUUCAGAUCCUCUGGGUGCAUCAAUUCCGGACCUCACUUCAGAGAGCAUCUCAGAGCGUGGGCCCUCACGUGACGUCAUCAUUUGUGAUCCUUGGCAUGGAGGCCAUAUAUGGUCGAGGGAGCUGGAGAAACUCACACCAAACCCUGCGGCCUUCUGCCUGCACUCAGCUUUCGGAAACCAAGAGCCCAGACGGUUCUUAAUUCAUCAUAGUUGGGGGUUGCUGCUGCUGCGAGUAAAGGUCUGCAGAGCCUGAGAUGGAUAGGUCGGCCUGUGUGUUGACAUCGCGGGUUGCUAACCUACAAAAUGAACAGGUUGGGCUAACUCGGCAGUUCCCAAUCCUAGCUGCACAUUAGCAUCCUACUAAACAUACCUAUGCCUGCCUCUUCCCCAGAGAGGCCCAAACAGCACUGAUUCCUUAAACUUUUUAUUAAAGUGUAAUAGACCCAC
Molecule: long non-coding RNA, 784 nt
Organism: Equus quagga
Lineage: Eukaryota; Metazoa; Chordata; Mammalia; Perissodactyla; Equidae
Exons: 4
Source: RefSeq, a predicted model, not a curated record